RNAcentral lists this microRNA precursor (97 nucleotides) under Equus caballus (horse). RNAcentral describes it as "mir-544 microRNA precursor family". It matches the Rfam family "mir-544 microRNA precursor family". Lineage: Eukaryota; Metazoa; Chordata; Mammalia; Perissodactyla; Equidae. The record is from Rfam by way of RNAcentral.
AUCACCUGGGUACCUUGUUAAAAAGUAGAUUCUAAUUUAAUAGUUCUAGGGUGGGCCUGAGAUUCUGUAUUUCUAUGAAGCUCCCAUGUGAUGCCAA